Molecule: ribosomal RNA, 274 nt
Filed under: uncultured bacterium
Lineage: Bacteria
Description: partial 16S ribosomal RNA
Rfam family: Bacterial small subunit ribosomal RNA
Source: RNAcentral
AUACGGAGGGUGCAAGCGUUAUACGGAAUCAUUGGGUUUAAAGGGUCCGUAGGCGGGCUAAUAAGUCAGGGGCGAAAUCCCACAGCUUAACUGUGGAACUGCCCUUGAUACUGUUGGUCUUGAGUUACAGUGAAGUGGUUAGAAUGUGUAGUGUAGCGGUGAAAUGCAUAGAGAUUACACAGAAUACCGAUUGCGAAGGCAGAUCACUAACUGUAUACUGACGCUAAUGGACGAAAGCGUGGGGAGCGAACAGGAUUAGAAACCCUAGUAGUCC